UUCGAAGCGGUUAGUGGCGGACUGGUGAGUAACACGUAAGCAACCUACCUGUUAGAGGGGAAUAACAGUGAGAAAUCACUGCUAAAACCGCAUAUGCCGUGAACAUCGCACGAUGAAAACGGGAAAAGAGCAAUCUGCUAAUAGAUGGGCUUGCGUCUGAUUAGCUAGUUGGUGUGGUAAAGGCAUACCAAGGCGACGAUCAGUAGCCGGACUGAGAGGUUGAACGGCCACAUUGGGACUGAGAUACGGCCCAGACUCCUACGGGAGGCAGCAGUCGGGAAUAUUGCGCAAUGGAGGAAACUCUGACGCAGUGACGCCGCGUAUGGGAAGAAGGUUUUCGGAUUGUAAACCAUUUUAGACAAGGAAGAAACAAGACAGUACUUGUAGAAUAAGCUCCGGCUAACUACGUGCCAGCAGCCGCGGUAAUACGUAGGGAGCAAGCGUUAUCCGGAUUUAUUGGGUGUAAAGGGUGCGUAGACGGGAAGGUAAGUUAGUUGUGAAAUCCCUCGGCUCAACUGAGGAACUGCGACUAAAACUGCUUUUCUUGAGUGCUGGAGAGGAAAGUGGAAUUCCUAGUGUAGCGGUGAAAUGCGUAGAUAUUAGGAGGAACACCAGUGGCGAAGGCGACUUUCUGGACAGCAA
This 642-nucleotide ribosomal RNA is filed under the name uncultured Lachnospiraceae bacterium. RNAcentral's name for it is "bacterial SSU rRNA". It matches the Rfam family "Bacterial small subunit ribosomal RNA", at positions 82 to 739 of the family's 1533-position model. Lineage: Bacteria; Bacillati; Bacillota; Clostridia; Lachnospirales; Lachnospiraceae. The record is from RNAcentral.